Molecule: transfer RNA, 73 nt
Organism: Halogeometricum borinquense DSM 11551
Lineage: Archaea; Methanobacteriati; Methanobacteriota; Halobacteria; Halobacteriales; Haloferacaceae
Rfam family: tRNA
About the family: Transfer RNA (tRNA) molecules are approximately 80 nucleotides in length.
Source: Rfam
GGGCUCGUGGUCUAGUGGUCAUGACGCUUCCCUUACAAGGAAGAGAUCGGUGGUUCGACUCCGCCCGAGCCCA